This 304-nucleotide unclassified non-coding RNA is filed under the name fungal sp. RNAcentral describes it as "partial internal transcribed spacer region". The stretch from base 1 to 46 matches the Rfam family "Eukaryotic small subunit ribosomal RNA", at positions 1786 to 1831 of the family's 1831-position model. Lineage: Eukaryota; Fungi. The record is from RNAcentral.
AAGUCGUAACAAGGUUUCCGUAGGUGAACCUGCGGAAGGAUCAUUAUCACGUAUCCACGUAUAAACCAUUGUGAACUGUGUUAACCUUUGGAGGGAACUGUGUGAAUGUAUUGUUUCUUAAGUGAUUUAAGCAAUCUUUCACAUGCUCUACUGUUCUCUCUGAAGUGUAUUUCUUAAAUUACUUUACAUUAACCCUUUAAACCUAUUCUUUUAAAACUCUGAACUAAUUCAUUUCUUACUCUUCGGAGAAGAAAUAUUUUACGAAACUAAAGAACAACUCUUAGCAACGGAUAUCUUGGUUCUC